Molecule: ribosomal RNA, 497 nt
Filed under: uncultured bacterium
Lineage: Bacteria
Description: partial 16S ribosomal RNA
Rfam family: Bacterial small subunit ribosomal RNA
Source: RNAcentral
GACGAACGCUGGCGGCGUGCCUAAUACAUGCAAGUUGAGCGCUGAAGGUUGGUACUUGUACCAACUGGAUGAGCAGCGAACGGGUGAGUAACGCGUGGGGAAUCUGCCUUUGAGCGGGGGACAACAUUUGGAAACGAAUGCUAAUACCGCAUAAAAACUUUAAACACAAGUUUUAAGUUUGAAAGAUGCAAUUGCAUCACUCAAAGCUAAUCCCGCGUUGUAUUAGCUAGUUGGUGAGGUAAAGGCUCACCAAGGCGAUGAUACAUAGCCGACCUGAGAGGGUGAUCGGCCACAGUGGGACUGAGACACGGCCCAAACUCCUACGGGAGGCAGCAGUAGGGAAUCUUCGGCAAUGGACGAAAGUCUGACCGAGCAACGCCGCGUGAGUGAAGAAGGUUUUCGGAUCGUAAAACUCUGUUGGUAGAGAAGAACGUUGGUGAGAGUGGAAAGCUCAUCAAGUGACGGUAACUACCCAGAAAGGGACGGCUAACUACGUG